RNAcentral lists this ribosomal RNA (492 nucleotides) under uncultured bacterium. RNAcentral describes it as "partial 16S ribosomal RNA". It matches the Rfam family "Bacterial small subunit ribosomal RNA", at positions 29 to 507 of the family's 1533-position model. The record is from RNAcentral.
AGUGAACGCUGGCGGUAGGCCUAACACAUGCAAGUCGAACGGCAGCACAGUAAGAGCUUGCUCUUACGGGUGGCGAGUGGCGGACGGGUGAGGAAUACAUCGGAAUCUACUUUUUCGUGGGGGAUAACGUAGGGAAACUUACGCUAAUACCGCAUACGACCUACGGGUGAAAGCAGGGGAUCUUCGGACCUUGCGCGAUUGAAUGAGCCGAUGUCGGAUUAGCUAGUUGGCGGGGUAAAGGCCCACCAAGGCGACGAUCCGUAGCUGGUCUGAGAGGAUGAUCAGCCACACUGGAACUGAGACACGGUCCAGACUCCUACGGGAGGCAGCAGUGGGGAAUAUUGGACAAUGGGCGCAAGCCUGAACCGGCCAUACCGCGUGGGUGAAGAAGGCCUUCGGGUUGUAAAGCCCUUUUGUUGGGAAAGAAAAGCAGCAGGUUAAUACCCCGCUGUUCUGACGGUACCCAAAGAAUAAGCACCGGCUAACUUCGUG